This 5809-nucleotide long non-coding RNA is filed under the name Salmo salar (Atlantic salmon). Its description in RNAcentral is "lncRNA (ENSSSAG00000101588.1, ENSSSAG00000108061.1)". The record is from RNAcentral. Lineage: Eukaryota; Metazoa; Chordata; Actinopteri; Salmoniformes; Salmonidae.
CGCUUGCAUUCUGUCAAUGAGUGCAUGAGACUAUUUUUAAUGCCUACGAUACAAUGGGAGAGAUGAUGAUGAUGAUGAUGAUGAUAGUGAUAGUCAAGUGGCCUACAACGAUUUGCCAAAGGUCCACAAGCUUCGGUCCAAAAUAAGGUCCAUAGAAACGCAUUGGGCUUAUUUAGUACAGAUUUAGGCUAAAGUGAAACCUCUCGCUUCGCCCCUUCUCUGUCUUAGAGCAACAACAAUCAGCAAACAGUCGGUGGUUGGAUUUGAAUAACGUUUAUUGAAAAAGUAUGGUUAGAGGCGAUCAACCAUUUAGCAAGUCGGACAUUUCCGAGUUUCCUAGUUCCGACUAGCACUUGAACGCGGCAUAAAUCAUGGACAAAAAUGUACUCUCGAAAAAACGAUCAGUAUUUUUUUGUAACAUGGUUCCAAUAAUGAAAAUGGAAGAUCUUUCAAAUUGAUCACCUGACAAUAGUUCAACAAAUCUCUACCCGCUUGAGGAAAAUAGACUCAUCAUCACUUAAUUUAGUAGUGAUGUUUGGUCUUUGGAGGUUUAGUUUAGAAGGUUUCGUUUUCUUUCAGGAGUGCUUUCGUAAAUUAGUUUAUUUUUAGAUUAGAUAUAUUAACACCGUGUUACAGUUGUAGGGUGCCAUAUUGCCUGGAUUAGAGGAAUUUGCACUUGCAUCUGCGACCGCAGUCGUCCCAGUGGCAGCUGCGUUAGACAAUAGGCGGCAGAGUAUAUAGUCAUGUUGGUAUCCCUCUGCCUGCCUGCUUGCUUGUGUCUCUAUUAACAGACAAGUACCCCGAUCAUCUGGAACCUGAAUUGCUGUUCUGUUUUGUAGCACUACGGAUUCAACUUUCAGAAAGGACAUUAGUACUGGUGAUAUUCUCACAACUGAUGAGUUUUCGGUUGAAGCUCACUAAACACGUUUCCAUCCAACCAUUUUAUCCAGAUGAAUUAUCUGUCCACGAAAAAAGUCACGACCGGGCUGAUGGAAACAUGAAAUGCCGGUACAAUUUAUAAAUGCCGUAGGAUAAUUUGGUCGUUCGACAUGGUAGGAUCUUUAUGUGUCGGUAAAAUUAAUUAUGCGAGUAAUGGCGGUGGAAACGCCUUUAUGCGCAAAUAUUGAUAAACACAUUAAUAACCAUCAUAUCGAAGCAAACUUGGAGUCACGCGAUGUUAUGUUGUGUGGUCCUACCACUACGACUUGGGAAAACAUGCAGUUUAUUAGGCUACAGAUGAAAUAAAUGAUGAUGAACUUCACAGGGUGGUGAAUGUGCAAGGUAAUGAGCUUGGAAUAAAUAUCGAGGGUAUUAUUGUCACGUUCUGACCAGUAAAGGGGUUAUUUGUUAUUGUAGUUUGGUCAGGACGUGGCAGGGGGGUAUUUGUUUUAUGUGGUUCGGGGUUUGUUAGUAUAUGUGUUUAUGUAGAGGGGUGUUUGGUUAGAGUAUUCCGGGGUUGGGUUAUGUUCUUUAUUUCGUAUUUCUAUGUUGUGUCUAUGUUGUGUAUUUCUUUGUUGGCCUGGUAUGGCUCUCAAUCAGGAACAGCUGUACAUCGUUGUUGCUGAUUGAGAGUCAUACUUAGGUAGCCUGUUUUCACCUGUCCCUUUGUGGGAAGUUGUGGUUGCAUAGCUGUGUGUUUUAGCCUGCAAUCCUGUUCGUGCGAUCGUUUUGUUUGUGUUCAAUAAAAGUCAUUAUGAGCACUCAACUUGCUGCGCCUUGGUCCACUACGUAUGACGACCGUUACAAUUAUUCUGGUGACAUGAUCGAUGCUUGGCUGCCGUUUGACAAAUACAAAUAAUAUCUCUCUUAUCCAUAAUAAUCUCAUAAUGUAGGUAGCCUUCCCGCAAUUUAUCUACGAGCUGUUGGCUAGAAUGCAUGUGCCAAGACCAGAGUGAGGACAUUUGCAAUAUACCAACAGUUUUUGUGGCAAAACCAUCAGGAGAGUUAAAAAUGUGAUGGAAACCCAUUUAAUUUCUAUUUUUCAUUCUAUAUAUGGGAAUUUAACUGUCAAAGUUAUUUUUAUGUGCACUACGUCAUCACGCACAUGCUUUUAUCCGCAAACAGUAAUUUAAUGUAAACACAUGGUGGGAAAAUGCUCAUAUUGUUUUAGGUAGAUGAGAAUAUUCGCAUGAAAAUCUGUUGCAAUUUAGAUGGAAACCUAGCUAUAAUUUGGAUGGAAACCUAGCCAUAUUUUCACCUUUUGCUAACUGUGUGUUUGGUUUUACCUUCCUUGUGGGGACCAGAAGUCCUCACAAGUAUAGUAAAACAAAACAAUAUGAGCUGGUCCACACAAGGAAAAAGGCUAUUUAGCUAUAGUUAGAGUUAGGAUUUUAAUUUACAUGUUUUUAUUUAACUAAGUAAGUCAGUUAAAAACAAAUUCUUAUUUACAAUGACGGCAUAGGCCGGGGGCCAAACCCAGACGACGCUGGGCCAAUUGUGCGCAACGGCCGGAUGUGAUACAGCCUGGAUUCAAAUCAGGGACUGUAAUGACACCUCUUGCACUGAGAUGCAUUGCCUUAGACUGCUGCGCCACUUGGGGAGCCACUUGGGGUUAGAGGUUAUGGAAAAUAGUAUUUUGAAUGGGAAUCAAUUCUUUGGUCCCCACAAGAAUAGUAAAUCAAACAUGUGUGUGUGUGUUUGAAAAAUCUGAUUUGGAAUGCUGCCACACUAGAAGAAGAAGCAAGGAACAACCUACUGUCAAGUCCAAAAUGAUUUACACCCUUGAUAAAGAUUAGUAAAAAAUACUGUAUAAAAUAAAUAAUAAAAAUACUGAGCUAUACUGUAUGCUCCAAAAAAUUGGGAAAUUGUAUUAUUUUAUAAUAAUACAAUUGCGCAGAGAAAGAGGUUUUGUUUAAAAAGUAAUCUUUUUUUCUUCUAAAAAAGAUAGGGGUCAAAAUUAUUUGCACCCGUUUUCAAUAUCUUUCAAUAUACCUCACCUUGCGAGCUAACGGCACUGAGCCUUUUUCAAUAUACAUGGAGAACACUUUGUGCUUGGGGUUAUUGUCUUGCUUGAAUAUCCACUUGUGGCCAAGAUUUAGCCUCCCGGCAGAGACAACCAGGUUUUUGGCUAAAAUGUCCUGGUACUGGGUAAAGAUCAUGAUGCUGUUAACUUUAACUAGGGCCCCAGGAUCCACCACCAUAUUUUACAGUAAGUAUGGAGUUAUUUUCUGCCUAUCAAAUCCUUUCGUCGCCAAACCCACUACUGGUGUGCGUGGCCAAAGAGCUCCAUUUUCAUGUCAUCAGACCAUACCACUGGUUUCAAUCCAAGUGCCAAUGUCGUUAGCAAACUCCAGGCGUUUACAUUUGUUGGGUGACGUGAAAAUAAAACUCUUUAGCCAUGUACACCAGUGGUGGGUUGGCGCCUCCCAUUGGGUUGUGCCGUGGCGGAGAUCUUUGUGGGCUAUACUCGGCCUUGUCUCAGGAUGGUAAGUUGGUGGUUGGAGAUAUCCCUCUAGUGGUGUGGGGGCUGUGCUUUGGCAAAGCGGGUGGGGUUAUAUCCUGCCUGUUUGGCCCUGUCGGGGGGUAUCGUCGGACGGGGCCACAGUGUCUCCCAACCCCUCCUGUCUCAGCCUCCAGUAUUUAUGCUGCAGUAGUUUGUGUCGGGGAGCUAGGGUCAGUCUGUUAUAUCUGGAGUAUUUCUCCUUUAUUAUCUGGUGUCCUGUGUGAAUUUAAGUAUGCUCUCUCUAAUUCUUUCUCUCUCUCGGGGGACCUGAGCCCUAGGACCAUGCCUCAGGACUACCUGGCCUGAUGACUCCUUGCUGUCCCCAGUCCACCUGGCCGUGCUGCUGCUCCAGUUUCAACUUUUAUUUUUAUUUCACCUUUAUUUAACCAGUUCGUUCCAGUCAUUGGCAGCAGAGAACUGGAAGGAGAGACGGCCAAAGGAGGAAUUGGCUUUGGGGGUGACCAGAGAGAUAUAACUGUUCUGCCUGCGGCCAUGGAACCCUGACCUGUUCACCGGACGUGCUACCUGUCCCAGACCUGCUGUUUUCAACUCUCUAGAGACAGCAGGAGCGGUAGAGAUACUCUGAAUGAUCGGCUAUGAAAAGCCAACUGACAUUUACUCCUGAGGUGCUGACCUGUUGCACCCUCGACAACCACUGUGAUUAUUAUUAUUUGACCCUGCUGGUCAUCUAUGAACAUUUGAACAUUUUGGCCAUGUUCUGUUAUAAUCUCCACCUGGCACAGCCAGAAGAGGACUGGCCCAUCCCCUCAUAGCCUGGUUCCUCUCUAGGUUUCUUCCUAGGUUUUGGCCUUUCUAGGGAGUUUUUCCUAGCCACCGUGCUUCUACACCUGCAUUGCUUGCUGUUUGGGGUUUUAGGCUGGGUUUCUGUACAUAACUUUGAGAUAUCAGCUGAUGUAAGAAGGGCUUUAUAAAUUGAUUUGAUUUGGUGGGUUUGGCGUCGAAAGAAGGAUGUGAGAAGCAGAAAAUAACCCCAAACCUACUGUAAAAUAUGGUGUUGGAUCUUUUGGACCAGACUGUAGGUUGUGUCCUUCAGAGUUGUAGUCAGUGAGGGGAAGGAAGGUUACUGUUGUGGUUUAUUUAAUUGGUAAAUGCUCAUCCCCACCCGGCACAGCCAGAAGAGGACCCUCAGAGCCUGGUUCCUCUCUAGGUUUCAUCCUAGGUUCCGGCCUUUAUAGGGAGUUUUUCCUAGCCACCGUGCUUCUACAUCGGCAUUGCUUGCUAUUUGGGGUUUUAUGCUGGGUUUCUGUACAGCACUUUGUGACAUCUGCUGAUGUAAUAAGGGCUUUAUAAAUACAUUUGAUUGAUAUAAUGUGAGGCCAUUGAUAUUUCUGUUUUUAUUUUCCUCGUUUUUUCCUGUGAAGCGCAUUGCACUGCAUUCAUGUCUGAAAUGUUCUAUAUAAAUCAAGCUUAUUUUUGAUUUGAUACUGAUGGAAUGCCACGAUAGUGCAAACAGUUCCCUUUUACGUAUCACAAACAAUGCUUAUUAAAUAUUUAAUGUAUGAUGAACAUUCAUGUUUUUGAUGAAUUAACUGUUUUACUGUUUUGAGUAGGAUGUCUGCUCACGGUACAGUUGUUUGUAUAUCCUUUUCAAACCAAUAUUAAAGCAUUAGAUGUCAUCCCCCUGGGGUUAUUAGCCCAGUAUGUGACAGCAACAUUGGCAGAGUGGGAGUUAGUGCUUUUCAAAGCACUCUGGUGAUAAGAGAAACUUACAUUCCAUUCACCUGUCCUUUACUUUCAUGUGGUGUCAACCUUUCUUGUCAAAUUGACUGACAUGAUUGAAUUGUAUGAAUGUUUAUUGUAUGGAAAAAGGUGGCGACUGAAUUUCAAGAAUGUGGGAGGUAUUGUUCAUGGCGUGAGAUUAUUGUGUGAUAAAUCCGUAGAGCGCCUUGCCAAAGUAGAGGGCCAAAUGAAAAUUGACGACAGACCAUUAACACCAUAGAAUGUGCCCAAGGCUCCUAUGGCCCCAAUCACGCAGUAGCUCCUAAACGAUUAACACCAUACUGCAUGUGUGUGAAAAGCCUGUGAAUAGACCUGUGCUCUGUUUCAAUGAAAGGUCUUCAUUUGACCUGGCCAAUAAUCACAAAGACAACAUAUUCCUAAACCAUUUUCUUUCACCAUUUCACCGCCCAAUUUUAAUUUAGUUGAACAUGUCUUUAAAGAUAUUAAUUAAAGUCUCGAUCUAUGGUUCAUCUUAAGCAGGGUGUAUACAUGUAAUGAGAAAGGGAGCGAAUGAGAGAGAUAACAAGCAUGUUUUUGUGUCAGGGAAUGAAAACUAUCCCCCUCUGUUUUAUUGAUUUCUAUUCAAGAGGUGAUCAGCAUGGUGCCUGCCAUGUUUUGAUCUGCAGG